Molecule: small RNA, 684 nt
Filed under: Rattus norvegicus (Norway rat)
Lineage: Eukaryota; Metazoa; Chordata; Mammalia; Rodentia; Muridae
Description: uncharacterized LOC108350374
Source: RNAcentral
ACGGAGGGGAGAUCCAGAUUCAAACACGAAGCGGAGGCGCAGGAGCCAAGCGCUGCAAACCAGCACCAAUAAGGAGGAACAAUGAAGGAGUGGCAAGGCUGGAGUUCUAAAGCUUUCAUCCUUCAAACGGCUACAUGCUCCCGUUGCCAACAGAGGUUUUGCUACAUCUGGGAAGAGGUCACUUUUUGAAAUUCUGUAUGCAAUUUUGAGAAAAAGAAUGAUAUUCCUUUUCUCACUCUCCUAAAAAAAAUACAGAAGUUAUUUUCUCCCUUGCCAAAAAAAGAAGAAGAAAACCAAAAAGAGAAAUCAGUUUGAGAUUUGAUUGCACAGACAAGAACAGAGGCCUUGCCAGACCAUGGCAGAUGACUCAGGAAGCCUUUAAUCUUGGCUCCAACCUGGUCUCUGCCUAAGGGUUCAGAAAAAGGGCUGCGCCAUGGAGUAUUCUGGUCUGUAAAAGAAAAAAGACUUUUUAAGAGUCUUCUGGAACUCGGUCUGCUUAAUAAGGUAUCACCUUUUCCAGAAUCAAGGAAGAGAGGAAAGAAGGGAAGAAAGAUGGGAGGGAGAAGGAAGGAAACACAGAAAUUUAAAUUGUUGCAACGACAAUUUACAAGCCAGUGGUGAAGCUCAUCCUUGAGGAUCCAAAAGGGUCAUAUGUUCUGGUCGGUUUUGUUAUCUAUGUUGUUG